RNAcentral lists this transfer RNA (72 nucleotides) under Candidatus Beckwithbacteria bacterium RBG_13_42_9. RNAcentral describes it as "tRNA-Ile". It matches the Rfam family "tRNA". Rfam says of the family: Transfer RNA (tRNA) molecules are approximately 80 nucleotides in length. Their secondary structure includes four short double-helical elements and three loops (D, anti-codon, and T loops). The record is from RNAcentral. Lineage: Bacteria; Candidatus Beckwithiibacteriota.
GGGUGGGUAGUUCAGUGGUAGAACGCUGUCCUGAUAAGACAGAAGUCGAAGGUUCAAUCCCUUCUCCACCCA